Molecule: ribosomal RNA, 265 nt
Filed under: Staphylococcus aureus
Lineage: Bacteria; Bacillati; Bacillota; Bacilli; Caryophanales; Staphylococcaceae
Description: partial 16S ribosomal RNA
Rfam family: Bacterial small subunit ribosomal RNA
Source: RNAcentral
ACAUCCUUUGACAACUCUAGAGAUAGAGCUUUCCCCUUCGGGGGACAAAGUGACAGGUGGUGCAUGGUUGUCGUCAGCUCGUGUCGUGAGAUGUUGGGUUAAGUCCCGCAACGAGCGCAACCCUUAAGCUUAUUUGCCAUCAUUAAGUUGGGCACUCUAAGUUGACUGCCGGUGACAAACCGGAGGAAGGUGGGGAUGACGUCAAAUCAUCAUGCCCCUUAUGAUUUGGGCUACACACGUGCUACAAUGGACAAUACAAAGGGCA